GCGGGACUAGCUCAGUUGGUAGAGCACUAGCUUCCCAAGCUGGGGGUCGCGGGUUCGAGUCCCGUGUCCCGCUCC
RNAcentral lists this transfer RNA (75 nucleotides) under Deltaproteobacteria bacterium ADurb.Bin207. RNAcentral's name for it is "tRNA-Gly". It matches the Rfam family "tRNA". Rfam says of the family: Transfer RNA (tRNA) molecules are approximately 80 nucleotides in length. Their secondary structure includes four short double-helical elements and three loops (D, anti-codon, and T loops). Lineage: Bacteria; Deltaproteobacteria. The record is from RNAcentral.